This 433-nucleotide ribosomal RNA is filed under the name uncultured bacterium. RNAcentral describes it as "partial 16S ribosomal RNA". It matches the Rfam family "Bacterial small subunit ribosomal RNA", at positions 29 to 507 of the family's 1533-position model. The record is from RNAcentral.
AGCGAACGCUGGCGGUAGGCUUAACACAUGCAAGUCGAGCGGGCCUUUCGGGGUCAGCGGCGGACGGGUGAGUAACGCGUGGGAACGUGCCCUCUGGUUCGGAAUAACUCAGGGAAACUUGAGCUAAUACCGGAUACGCCCUUUUGGGGAAAGGCUUGCUGCCGGAGGAUCGGCCCGCGUCUGAUUAGCUAGUUGGUGAGGUAACGGCUCACCAAGGCGACGAUCAGUAGCUGGUCUGAGAGGAUGAUCAGCCACACUGGGACUGAGACACGGCCCAGACUCCUACGGGAGGCAGCAGUGGGGAAUAUUGGACAAUGGGCGCAAGCCUGAUCCAGCCAUGCCGCGUGAGUGAUGAAGGCCUUAGGGUUGUAAAGCUCUUUUAUCCGGGACGAUAAUGACGGUACCGGAGGAAUAAGCCCCGGCUAACUUCGUG